UGAGCAAUCUGCCCUUCUCAUCGGAAUAAGCGUUGGAAACGACGUCUAAUGCCGAAUACGACCUCCUUUCGCAUGAUCGGAGGUGGAAAGCUCCGGCGGAGAAGGAUGAGCUCGCGGCCUAUCAGCUAGUCGGUGUGGUAAUGGCCCACCAAGGCGACGGACGGGUGGCCGGCCUGAGAGGGUGACCGGCCACACGUGGGACUGAGACACGGCCCAGACCUCCGUACGGGAGCA
This 234-nucleotide ribosomal RNA is filed under the name uncultured bacterium. Its description in RNAcentral is "partial 16S ribosomal RNA". It matches the Rfam family "Bacterial small subunit ribosomal RNA", at positions 118 to 347 of the family's 1533-position model. The record is from RNAcentral.